This is a non-coding RNA of Malassezia vespertilionis, 92 nucleotides long. NCBI's taxonomy places the organism in Eukaryota, Fungi, Basidiomycota, Malasseziomycetes, Malasseziales, Malasseziaceae. The record is from the annotation of a RefSeq genome assembly.
GACUUUAUAACUCAGUUGGUUAGAGUAUCACGUUAACAUGCGUGUCAACGGUUAUACCGUGAAAGUCCCCGGUUCGAGCCCGGGUAAAGUCA